GAUGAACGCUGGCGGCGUGCCUAACACAUGCAAGUCGAACGGAAAGACGCCUAGGGGGGUCCUCGAGUGGCGAAGGGGGGCGUAAGACGUAGGAAUGCAUCCCUUGCCUAUGGGACAAGGAGAAGAACGUGGGGCCAAAGCCGGUAAGGAAUAAUAGAUGCAACGGGGGGGUUCAAAAGCUUCAGAGGCUUUGGGUGUUUGCUAGAGAUGGAGGCGGAUUAGCUAGGUGGUGGGGUAACGGCUUACCAAGGCGACGCUGCGUAGCCGAUCUGAGAGGAUGAUCGGCCACACUGGGACUGAGACACGGCCCAGACUCCUACGGGAGGCAGCAGUGGGGAAUUUUGGACAAUGGGCGAAAGCCUGAUCGAGCAACGCCGCGUGGGUGAAGAAGGUCUUCGGGUUGUAAAACUCUGUUAGUAGGGAAGAACAAUUGUAUAAGAAGCCAUGCCUGUGUUGACGGUACCUACAGAAUAAGCACCGGCUAACUACGUG
Molecule: ribosomal RNA, 492 nt
Filed under: uncultured bacterium
Lineage: Bacteria
Description: partial 16S ribosomal RNA
Rfam family: Bacterial small subunit ribosomal RNA
Source: RNAcentral